This is an RNA transcript of Sapajus apella (tufted capuchin), 31176 nucleotides long. RefSeq lists it as uncharacterized. The transcript has a single exon. The record is from RefSeq and is a predicted model, not a curated record. NCBI's taxonomy places the organism in Eukaryota, Metazoa, Chordata, Mammalia, Primates, Cebidae.
AGAGAGGGUUUUACCAUGUUGGCCAGGCUGUUCUCGAACUCUUGACUUCAUGAUCUACCCACCUCGGCCACCUUAAGUGCUGGGAUUACAUGAGUGAGCCACCACACCCAGCCUUAAGUGUCAAUCUUUUUAAGCUUUUCAAAAAUCAACCAAAAUCACUUAGCAAUCAUAAGUAUAUAUCAUUCAAAAUUGUUCCUGAUAUGUGCUGGCUGUUAGGGCAGUUUCUUUUUCCUACCUGUUGUGCGCCCUUUUACCUAUCUUUCAUCUUCUUGCUAAGUGAUAGCUACCAUCACAACACUGGCUUUCCUUGAUAGCAUAUCUUCCUGCAUAUCCAAAACUUAAGUUCACAUGAGCAGAAGUUGAUCUAAUCAAAGGUAAAUCAGAAGUUAAAAAAAAAAUAGCAGAGAGAUAAAAACAUCAAAAAUGUACAUCUUGCAAGCAGUGAUGUUGAAUUUAGGAGAAGUGUGUUCUGUUGCGAUGAAAAUCAUUUUCUAGUUUAAACUGACCAUGUAAGUUUAUAAGCAUAAUAAAAAUUUGAAGUUUUCUAUCAAAUUAAAUAUAGUGUUUGAGCUUUCUAACAUUUAAUAAUACUGUCACCAAUAAGCCUGCAAAAUAAAAUAAUGUUUGAGCCCCCAAAUCAUCAGAAAUAUGUAGACCAAACAAGUUGAGAAGAAUUGACUUUAUUUUUGUAAUUGGGCCAAGAAAAAUACUUAGGUUUUUGUUUAGUUUUGUGUAUAUUAAUCUUGAUUUUUCCCAGUGUUUUGCAUGUUUGGAGUUUUUCAUAUCAAAGGUACUGCUCUUUGUAAACAAGUGUAAGUUUACCCAGGCAGCUUCACUUACACCCUUCCCUUAUAAUCAGAUGUGAAAAUUACACCCUCCCUUUUGGAUACAUGAUAAUUACACAUUUCAACAUGCAAGGAAUUGUCUCUGUUUCAGUUGUUGGAAUGAAAAAGCUGAGACACUCAGUAAAAUAUAUUAUUAUAUUAAAGAUCAUUUCCAUAAUUGUUUUCAGGAUUUGUAAUCAAAACCAUGAUCAAGGUAGUUUUAGUUUAAAAAAAAAAAAAAAAACAUGGAAAUAAGGAGAGGAUAAAACUAAUUGCCAAAUUCCACUUGAAUGACCAUUCUUUAAUUUUAUGAAAAUGCAAUUGAGUAAAGUGCAUUAUAUUCUUUCUUUAAAAAAAAAAAACCUUCUAGUAUCUUAUUUGACAUUUUCUUUCUCCAUGUUCACUGAAUUACCUGUUUUUUCAAGUAGACCAAAAAAAAAAAAAUGCAGAAAUACAGAUUUUUGUGAUCAAGGUGAAAAAUUUAAUCAGAGGAGAGAUAUGAAGGAAUCUUUUCAAGAAAAGAUGUGUUUGUUUUUGUUGGCAGCAGUGCUUUUCAGCCAAAUAUAAUAGUUUUGUAAACUCAGGUAAGGCACCUCACUUCACAAUCAGAUUUCUGGAUUCAUCUAGAGUAUCAUUCAUAUCAUAGGUAAAAAUACAUGUCACUACGGGUAUAAAAUAAACUGAAGCCUUAAAAAUGCAGAGGUUUUGGCAAAUAGCACUAACUCAAAAAUAUCUCUUAUAUCUAAGGAGAGGGUUUAAAUCACCGAUUCCUUUUUACUUUCUUAAGCUAAGAAGAAAAGGAAGAGAGAAGGCAGCAUUGGAUGGUUGAUGUUAUGGCUUGUUGAAACAGUUUAUGGCAUAAAGAAAUAAUUCCCCAACUCUUUAGCUUUCCAAGUAUUUAAAUGUUUCUGCUCAUCCAAACACUAGCAUAGGUAAGUGAGGACACAUAUUUCAUAUAGCCCAAAUCUAUUUUUUAAAAAGAAUUCCUGCAGAUUUUUUGCUUCUAAAAAAAUACCCCAACCCAAAUUUCUAAAAAUUUUGAUUUUUGGAAUUAAAUGUUAAUACUGAUUAGCACUUACCUAUACGUCGUCUUCUAUUUUAAAAUCAUUGCAUAAUCUGGCAUUUAUAUUUAAUUUUCUAAAUCAUUUUCCCUAGAGAGCAUUCAUAUAAUUUUAGAACUUGGAAGGAACCAGGAUUUCAACUAUACUCAUCCCCAGGCUUUUCCCAUUGGGUAGAAACUGAAACAGAGCUGGCAGAACCAGGAUUUGAACCCCAGCCUUUUGACUCCAAGUCAGGGACAAGAUGCGGUUUUAAAUGUUAAUUCUUUUUUAUUGGUUUUGAUAUUGUGGCCCCAAGAUCCACUGUCUUAUUUUUGUGCUAAGUGACUCUUUACUCUGAAGGGCCAGGUUAUAAUUGCCAUGUAUGCCAAGAGUGAAGGGGGCAAGGACCAGAACGUCCAGUAUGCCCAGGUGGUGAGUUAUUAGGCUAUGGAGCUGUAAGUUCUGAACUCCAUGUUCUUUGAUUUUACUGCUCCUAUAUUUUUUGACAGUUGCUUUUUAGGUGAGGUGUUUCAUUUUCAUAAUUUCUGUACAGGCUGGGCAGAGAGUUCAGGAAAUGUUCCACAUUGUACUGACAUUCCCCUGGCAUUAAAUGGGUUCCAACUUAAGUCCUAUUCCACUAAGCCUAUUUUGGCACCAUAGAGAGAGUGAUGAGAGGGAAGAGUCAGUGGAGGAGAAGACAGGAAACUUGCCAGGAAGGAAUUGAAAGGCAUAUGCUCCUGGCUCCAUUGCCUGUGUCUGCCUUCACCACCUUUAGCUUGACAAGCAGUGGCCGUGGCAAAUAGGAAAAGUUCUGGGUGGGAAAAAUACAGAAGAAGCCAUUCCUGAUUAGGCCAUGUGUCUUUCACUAGUUUCCAUCAGAGUGGGCUGACUGAUCUGUGAAGAUCUGGGAUCAUGACUGAGUACAACAAGAAGAAUCCAAUACUUGAUUCAGGAAAUUUGGAUUCCUGGCCCGCCCAGCCUGCCUUCCAGUCUGAACAUGGCCUUGGACACAUCCUUAACCUUUCUGGGACCCACAUCCCUAAUGAUAAAAAGCAGAGAUUGGACAGAGGUUGCAAACUGGUGGCUGAUAGAUGUGUUUGAUUUGGCCCACACAGUAUUUUAAAUACAUUUGAAUUGGUUGCCAAUAUUUAAAAAUUGGGCUGUUUCACCAAAAAAAUAAAUAAAUAAAUAAAUAAAAAAUUACAGAUUUCCAACUCCCCUGGGAAUCUCAGAGGAUCUGGUGUCUCAGGCCCACAUAGCUAUAUGGAAAGAUCAUGUGGGAACAACUUUGAGUUUCAUAAGAAAAAUCAAUCAACCUCCCUCACCUGCUUGACCUGUGUAGCCAUUUGAAUGUGGGGCCCCAAUUCUCUCCCAAGACUCCUCUGAAGCUCUAGUUUUGGAAUUCCAAAUAUGAUUUGCUUCACUGUAAGAAAUAUACAUAAUCCAUAGGGGUUUCUAUGUCUAUGGCAGAAUGCUAAGGUAUUUGUCUAUACAGUCAGCAUCAGGUAAAAUUUGGAACCGUCUUAGGCCAAAUGAAUCAGCCCUGUUUAGAACAAACACUGACUUUGAAAUUUGACAAUGGGAGGCAGGAAUAGCUCAGUAAAGAUGGCCUUUGAGGUAGUUACAAGAAAGAUGGUUUGGUCACUGACUCACUGUUAUCUACACAGCAAACUGUGUAUUUUGCAAAUUAUCCAAAAGUAGAUUCUUUAAAACCCAAAGCAAAUAAUAAGGGCCCUUCAGUUAAUAUUUUUUUCUCAUCUCCCACUCUAAACUAACAUCUUUAUGAAUAUUGAGUUCAUGAACUUUUUCUGUUCAUGUAAUUGCGAACAAAUUAUAUUGGCCUGGGAACUGUUUGAUCUUCAAAAGUAAAGGAAUUACAUUGAUUUUAAAAAUUAUACUUUUAUAAACCAUAUUUCCAAAUGUAUUCACUUAAACACAAAAAAUAACAUUUGCAACUCAUGGUUAUAGAGUGUUUAAUAUUGUGCAAGGAACAUUGAGGAAAAUAUGUCAUUCAAUCUUCGCAGCAAUUGUAGGACCUAGACAGAGAAGAUGUUUAAUACAAAUGAGGAGUCUGAGACCCAGAAAGGUUGGAUGACUAUUGGAAAAUUGGCCUACUAUUACUUGCUUAAUAUGAAAAAGAGCCAGGAUUCAAAUAUACAGCUUUUGGCUUCAUAUUUAAUGUUUUCCAUGCCAUCACUAUGCUUCCAGUGUCUUAGAGUGUGUGUGUGUGUGUGUGUGUGUGUGUGUGUGUGUGCAUGUCUGUGUCUGUGUCUUACAUAAACACUGACUUUUUCUCUCUGUGUGUCAUGAACAAGAAUUGAGAGGUUAAGUGGGAAUUGUUUCAUGAAUUGAGAAUUGUUUCACUUUUUUCUAAGUCAAUGAAGAAUUCUUUUCGGUAGCUCUUCUUAAGUGAAUGCUGGAUUUUUAUUAAGGGAAGCUAACAGAUAUAUAAAGACAUCUUUAUAUAUAAAAACACAAUCCAUGGAAGCAUAUUGCAGGGGAGUUUAAGAUCAAGCUUUACAAGGAAAUAAUGAUAUAGACAAGUGGAGGAGGGGCAAAAAAAGAGUCAUAAAAUAGGCAAGUAGAGGUUUCUGGAAAAAUGAGGUGGUGGGGGAAGAGUCUAUUGUAAAAGUAAAAAGGUAGAAGGUAGAACCAUUGAAAAAAAGAAAGAAAUAUCAGAAAUAUAAAGAGAAAUAAACAGCAAGAAGACUCCACAGUAAUUUAAGAAGUGAAACCUUUUAGGACAGAGGUAGGAGAGAAAUGGGAAACACUGGAGAGGAAGUAACAAUUAGGGAGUGUGGAAGAAGAACCUCCAGGCCAGAAAUCUGAGCAAAGACUUGAGAAAGGAUGAUGGUAAAUGUGAAACAUUGAAAGGGACGUUUUAAGGGAUUCAGACAUUGAAAGGAAAGUAAAUUUUCAUCACAACACCCCAUGACAACAAGCUCAACACGCUUGGAUUAUAAGAAAGGAAAAUUAAUAUGGUUAGAAGGAAAGAAUAAAAAUUAGUAAGAGAAAUCUUUGGAUGUCAAUAGAGAAGAAGAAAAAUGAUAUUAAAAGGUGAGAAGGCAUGGGUGGAAAGUAGAAGGAGAUGAGAACCUAUGGUAGGUGGAGGUGAAAAAUGAAAUGCGUCAAGAAAGAUCAUGACUGGAGCUGCCGCACACUGCGGUGAUGUAGACAGAGAAGCUAUUCUCCAGGAAACCUGCAAAUAAAAAGAAACCUUAAGCUGUGUUGGGAGAGAACCCAGCUCAGCAAGGUGAGAGAGCAAGAGGUUACAUUCUGCAAAAAGAGAACAUGAACAGGGAGAAGGAGGGAAACAAGGGGAAAGAGAAAACAGCAAAUCAAAGUUAUGGAGCAUACAGCAUUGAAAGGAAUGAGGCAUUCUGUUGGAAUUAUUCAUUUAAGCAUAUGGGUAUUGGUGUCCCUUUUCUAAAAAUGGAUCCUCUCCCUUAUUUCCCAUUUUUCUAUAAUGCUAUUAUACUAUUUUAAUAAAUUCACAUGGAAAAGUACUUUACAAGGAUGAGCAAUUUUUUACUUUUAGAAAUGUUUCAAAAGGGGAGGUAAACUUGAUGGUUAUCUGUCUGAAGGAUGAUGCACUAUAGCGGUGUGUGAGAAUGGGGCCAGAGGUAAUCAUCAUUUUUGAAACUGUUCUUUCAACAAGUUCAUAAUUCAAGUAAAGUAACUCAUUUGCACACAUUUAUGGCAAAACACACUCUAGAUACUAAUUUACAUUGCUUAUACUGAAGAUCUCUUGAGUUUUCAAAAAGUUCGAUUUACAGAUUUUUCACAUCAAGGAUUUUUUUUCGUAGAUUCUAUUUUAUAGUCAAGUUGUCUGGACUCCUCAGUAAGUCUUUACCUUUAUACUGCGUAUACUCAUUUAUGUAGAUUAAUAUACUUUCUUGCCCUGAAUGUUCUAAAAGUGUACCACUUGGGGCUCUAGAAUUUAGACAGCUCUCUUCUCCAACUGUUUCUAGUCUACCUUUUCAAUGGAGUUAGUAUAAUGGCUUUAGUAAAACAAUUUCUAUGUUGCAGUGAAAAGAUGGGGUUAAAUGUCAUAACAGGCACAAGAAACAGGAGGAAAUGAGAAUUGUGUACUUUCAGUCACACCCUGGCCAUGUGCUGAGACCAUGUGCUCAGGCCACAUAUAGCCUGCAGCCCUCCGGAGUGGGCUGUGUAACCUGGGGCAUAUAUGACGUCAGGGCACACAAAGGAUUCAUUUACUGAAGGUGAUAGACAAUUCCUCUGCCACAAAUGCAAACAUUUUUUCAUAAGAACCCAAAGCAAUUGGUUUUCUUUAAUAAUAUACUUAAUCUUUUCCUCCUUCCUUUACUCUUCCUUUCCCCUCUUUCUCCUCUUUUCCUCUAUAAACAGUGGUCUUUGUCUGAGAUCUCCAACUCCAAGGUAUAGGUGCCUGGAAAGAAAAACAAAGUCAAUGUAUUGUGGUACUAACAAAUAAUGCUGUGAUUAUUAGAAAAAAAAAAACAGUUUGAAGCAAGAUACAAAAUUCUCAAAAGUAGCUAUCUAUAUGAAAAUCUUUGUACUUCUAGAGAGUAUGUGAAUGACUAUGUCUUUCAUCUCAUGAAAACAGAUGCUUAUAUGCAAUCAUCUUUAAAAAAAGAAACAAAAUAUCACAGUAGUGGCGAUGCCUAUUUUACAUGAGUAGGAAAACUAGCCAAAUAGCUUUGGGAACAUUUAUUAGCCUUGUCCUUUAAAAAAAAAAAAAAACCUUUAGUAUAGAGAGAAAAUAGAGAUGACAGGUAGGCGGCUAAGUAAGGUAACAGGAUGGCAGACAGCAUUCCUAUCAGAGCAGAAAGAAUUUAUAAGGGAACUGCCACUUAUAGCAUAAUACGGCUAAGUUAAGAAUUGCAAACAGAGUAGGGGCCAAGCAACAUUUGAAGAACAAUUGUCCUUAAACAUUCUUGUAAUGCUAAGUCACUCAUCUUUGUUUCCCACUUGCUUCCUAGAGUUAAGAAAAGUUCUUUCCUAACUUGGGUUGCUAUGCAGAGAUGUGAAAUUUCAUUGGCUCCAAAUGCUUUUCUGUCUAGUAGGGACUACUGGGAACCCUGCUAAUGUGCAUAUUGAUAUACCCUGUAGCUUCAGAGAUGAUGAAAGAGCAUAUUACUUAUUUCCACAACAACAAAGCUAAGAGAAAUUUGAAAGCAGCCAGCUAUUUUACCUGGGGACUUUCUCCCAGGUGACGAGGCUAUGGAACCAUGGAAUUUAAAUAUGGGGGCCGUCCUAUUUUCUAAAAAGUUUUUAUGGGGAGCCUUAAUACCACUCCCAAGCAGAAAUCAAAUCAAAUAAAAGACUAUUGCUUUCAUUUGCAUUUAUUUAGUCAACUAUGCCUAAAAUACGGAAAAGACAUUAUCAUGCUCAUUCAGAGUGUAUUUUAUUCGUUGUUUACUAGGCUGGACUGACAUUAUAUGAUUUGUGCUUUGCGGGGUCACAACAAGCUACUAGCAGGACAAUUUGCUGAAUCAAGAGGAUGAUUGUGUCUGGUGCCAGUCAGUCGCAAUUAGGACCAGGAUCAGGGAGGCCCGGGGCUUGUGCAUCGUCUUGGGCAAGCUGCAUAGAAAUCAGCUCACCUGAAACUAAUUGUCACAACAGAGACCUUAUGCAAAUGAGCCCUGGGGUUAGCGUGGGAAAAGAAAAACUGUCGCAAAGAUAGGUGACCUGCUGAGCAGGGGGUCUGUUGCUGGGGAAAUCUUUGUUCAAUGAGUUUAAAAAUGUUUUCAUUGUUCAAAAUCCACUCCCCCCCCACACACAAAAAAGUAGCAUACACACUCACUAAGAGUAUGGCAAACACACUCAUCUAAAAUUCCAAUAAAGCAGAAGCCUGCUUUGGAGAAUGCAAUAAAUUGGGAGUCUUUAUACUUUAUAAGGGCUACAGCAGGAGAAUAAUUUCCCUUUGCAAGGGCCUUUAAAGUUUAGGUGCUGCGGAUUGCAGAGUGGCCUACCUUGAAAAUUCACUUGCAAGGUCAGGCCUACUGCUAGUCUGGCAGGACCUGCAUCGCCUUUUCUCCCUGAUUUCCAGCAGUCCGCCUCCACACAGCCAUGAGGGAUGCCUGUGAACUAGACAAGAAAGGCCUAGUUUCCAAUUGAGUUUUACUGGUAUCUCAGGUAGAAGAGACGGGCCAGGAGAGUUCUCUAACACAUAGCAAAAGAAUCCGGGAAAACAAUGGCAGUUUCUUGAAUUGUGGUUUCUCAGAUACUCACAAAUUCAAAUGAAAUGUAAGCAUUGUGAAAUUCCAGGAAUGGUAACACAGCCCAAGUGGUAAUAGAUUGUAAAAAUUUAUCAAAAGAAAAGUAAAAGUUAUUUCUAAAUUAUGAUUUGCUUUGUUUGUAAAUCCCUGAAAAAAAAACAUGUAUAAGUUGGAAAUGUUGUUUGAUUUUAUUAUAGCACUCCUUUGAAAUCAUCUUUAAUAUGUUCUACUUUAGAAAACCAGAUGAAGAAAAGUUACUCAAAGGUAUUGAUAAACAUUUUGAUACCUUACUGUAACAAAAUUGCCUUUGGGUUCUUCAGUUGAUUUUUAGCUUUUCAAUCUUGUUUUCCUAAAAACAUGGGCAAAGAUAUUGAUACUUCUUAGCUUUUCACAGAAGAUUUCCCAGUGACAUAGUUGAUAAUGUAUAUUCAUACAGGAGUAUAAAUAUAAUAUCAAGGAAAUGAAAUAGAGUAUUCUAAGCUUUUGCAGUAACAGAGAGCAUAGAUAUUUUGUCAAAUGAUUUCAAAGAAAGAAUAAUUUGAAUUUAAAAAUGUAGGUGAGAGAAUAAGAAAGAAAUUUCAUUGCAUUGGCGUUGAAUACAAAUGCUAUUUUGUUUGGCAAAUUACUGGGCCUAAGAAAGUAAGUGUUUUCAUUGUGUUUCCUUUAGCGCUGGAUUGAAAUUUGGACUUCUAUCUGAUAAGCAAGCUCAGGAAUUAACUUGGUAGCCACUAUAAAACCUAAAGAAAGUUAGGCUUAGAAGAAGUGCAACUUAAUCACAAGUUAAAUUAAAACACACACACACACACACACACACACACACACAAACUCUUUUGUCCCUUCACCACUCACUGUCUGAAAUAAUUUCCACAUAUAGGAGACAUUUCACAGUGGGUACGAAGUGCUCAGCUUUCACUCAUCAAACUUUAAUCGGAACUGCAUUUUAGUUUUUGAAUAAAGAACACUUAAAAAAUUUAGAUGCAAAUUAUUUUGCAUUAUUCAUGCUCUAAGUGUCCUUGUAGAUUUAAACACUUCUGAGGCCACCUUGAUUCAAGUAAUUACCUAGGCCCUCACUGCUCCGUCAUGAAUAAGGUAUUUUGUACAAGUAAAGUAUGCACCCAAUGAGCUUUUAAAGUGGCUUUACACUGAACUUGUGUAUUGCUUCUUGUGCAUGAGUGAGCCGAACAUGCGUCGCAGUCUGUCUCAGGUGGGAAACCCUGGCUGGGCAUCCAUGGGUGACGGGAUGAAACCCGAGCGUCUCCUUCACACACAUGCUCUUCCUUUGUCUCUACCUAAGAAUGCUCCUGCCUGAUUCUAGUAGUUGUUUUAAAAAUUAAAGAAAGCAAUAGAUUCCAGGAAAAGAGACAGGGAAAGCAACAGUGAUUCCACUUAACCCUUUCAUCACCAGAAUUUAUUGGAAAUGCCCACUUUUCAGGCCGCCUCAUCUCCAUCAGCAAAGGCUUCCUUGUAAGGUAAUAAGUCUUUCUGAUUUUACAUGGUUCUGUACAUCUGUCUCCCCAUCUGUCAGCCUAGCCUCCUGAGCUAUUAGAGCUAGGUGCUACCUCCACCACAGUAUUCACACGAAAUGGAACAGGCUUCAAACUCAAAAGCAGCUGAAGAAUACUUACAAUGGAAAUGAAAGUGACCAGAGAGCAUAAAUCUGUAAGUUUAUCCACACACACAAAAAAGAGGGUUUGUAAGAGUUAAAUGUAAUUGGCUGAAGCUUAUAGCUGGCGUUUGUUACAAAGUGCCCAAGCCUUUCCUUUCCAACUCCGUAGCUUUGAAGAAUUAUAGGAAUUUUAUGAUGUGCUGUUGGAGUUAUACUGGCAGAGAUUACAGAAAAGGGGUUAAAGUUGGUUUAUGGUAGAAAAAAAUUAUGCAGAAACCAAUAAAAAUAAACACACUCAAGUAGACUAAACUUGCUGGGCUUUUAGUUUUAGUUUAACAAAGGAAGUUUAGAUGAAAGUAAAUGUUGCAGCUUUUAGAAAAUUAGUUGACACUCAUACUUGAUCAUCUUUACUACACAGCGGUAUAAUUAAUAUUUAAACAUUCUAAUAAUGCAGCUUGCUUUGCAUGCACUUUUCAGCCUCACAACAGUAUAUUUUAUCUGGAAUUGUGCUAGCAUUUUCUUGGGUAGUGCCCAUUUUCAUAGAGUUAAAUUUAAAAUAGAGUAGGACCUUAGCUCUUAUUGCCAGCAAAACAUCAAUAGGAGAGUAAACAGGUUUCAUACAUCUACCAGACAGUUUAUUAUGAGAACAAUAUUUAUUUGAGAUAAUAGAUAAUAUAUAAAUUUUGUUUCAUUGCACAAUGAAUGUUUUUAAAUGAUCAGAAUAGAUUAAGUUUGAAAGUUGCGUUUGGCUGUUGUCCACUCACUGUUCAAAACAGGAGAAUUUUGACAUGGUAAAGGCAGUGUGAAAUCAGCAAGCGAUACAUGAAAUAUGGAACCCCCAUGCCUGCCCAUUCAUUGGGGCAUCUGAUUAACAUAGUGAGGAAUGUUUAUUUUCAGUACAUAAAAUUGUAGAAUUUUGGGAGCAUCUUCUGAAUUACAAAAUCUGAAUACCCAGGAACUUAGUGAAACAAUAAAAACAUAGAGAAGUAAGCUAAUUGGGAGAAGCCUGAGCGAGUUUAUUUUCCUGUGAGAAGUUUCUUCCUGUUCCAGUCUCAGGGCUGUAGGUGGUAGGGAAAAGUUGUUUCAGGUGCUGCUCUCAGCUCAGACCCUUUGAAGAGUGCAAGGUGCCCAGUGUUCUUGAUCUUCUAGUUUGAAUGAUGAGAAAGAGCAUUCUACUUUUCCACCAUCACUUAAGUGUCCUUUGAAAUCUAAUUUGCAUGCACAUAUUUACUGCUCCUUCUUUUUAAGUGAGUAGGUGUGCUGAGCUUCAAGUCUAUUUUGAGACUCAGCCCAUGUUAACCCCUUGAGGCCCACUCCAUGAUAGGUACCGCCCUGUGGGAAUCCUGUCAUUUAGUGAAGCAUGAAGCCAUAAUAGAUCCACAGCCAUGCCACCAUUGGGGCAUCUCAUUUUGAUUAAUUCCCUGAAGCCUUUGGUGCUGUGGUUUGCACAAAUCAAAUGGUGCAAAUGAGAACUAUAAAAUUAGGCAGGUUAAAUUUCACAAGAAAAAAAAGAUAAGCAGUAGAAAAAACAUAGUGUAAAAUAUUACUACACAGGAGCAAUAUGUAAACUAAGUUCCACACUGAAGGAACCACCAGAUCUCAAGAAGUAGAUAUCAAGAAACAGUUUGCACUGGCUGUUUUAUUUCCUUAUGUCAGAAGGAAGUCAGUUUUUACAGAUCCUUGGACAUGAUCAUCUUUGUUUCUGAUAUUCAGAAACGGAACCAACAGUUUGUUGUCUGUUUAUUUCAUUGUGUUUGUUUUUGAGAAAGGGAGUUAAAUAAACUCAGUUUACAAAUAACUAACAGCCCUUGGACUAUUUAAAACCUGCUAUUGAGGUGAUAGAGAUAAGAUAAGUUGAACCCAACUGCUGUCACAUGUAUGGGUUUGACAGAUAGGUAAGUCUAAGAGUGGACAAAUUAAAAGCAUUUUUCAUAUGCUAAUCUCCACCUGCACAGGAAUAAUUUUUUUAAAGGAGGCAGCCUACUGGCAGAGUAAAUUCGAGAGCUAUCAGUAGUACAUUACUUCUAGGAAUUAUGACAUGAAAAAAUGAAAAAGUACUUCUAUGAGAAAAGUCUGCUGUGGAAUCUUAAUUCCAGAUGGGUGUCCUGACAGCAGUGUGCCAACAAUAUUGUGGAAAGAAAAAUGACACACACACACACACACACACACACACACACACACAUAUAUAUAUGGCUUUUAAACUUGAAUAAUAAUUUCUUCCAUAUGUAAUAGGUUCAAAAUUAUAUCUAAGGAGUUACCUUUUUAGUUGCGAAUAGAGAUCAAAGUGAAAACAAUAGUCUCCCUUGCUCUUCAGGUGUCAGUUACAUGUGAGCUGCAUAGUGAGUAUAAGAGACAGUCAGGGAUGUCAAUCAGAACCUACAGAUUAACCCGACGCAGUGAAAUCUGAGACGGUUUAUAACAAGUAGGUAACAGUUUCAGGCCUCUGUGAGAACGCAUAAACUAAAACUUCAUGCUGGGACAAAACAGGGCAGGACAUUUGAGGUAGAGAGUGAGAAAACCAUACUUUUAUUAUGACAAAGCCUCUCCCAUACUUGUUAAAAUGUCACUGGGUUGUUAUUAAAUGCUCACCAUUUCUCUAGGUUUUAUAUUAUUUUACAAAAAGCUUUUGGAGUUUCCUUUAAUUCUGAUAAACAUUCAAAUUUGUGCAUAAUUUCUGCACUUCAGCUUUGAAUGAUAGAAAAUUUCCUAUGCUUGUUGAGUUUCCUCUCAACUAAGAAAUUCUUAUAAUAAAUAAAAAUGUUACAUUUCUUUCUUCCAAUGUUGUCAAGUUAAUAAACCAUUACCUUAGUUUAUAAAUUUAAAAUUUACUAAUGUAUUGAAAUGAGAACAAAAAUACUCCAAGAAAAAUCUUAAACACAAAUAAUAAUGAUCGUAAUGAAUGGAUGGUGAUGAUUAUGGAUGGAAAUGAAGAUCUCAUGUAAGGUCCUAUCUCUUUUUAAUAAAGAGUCCUCAGGCUCAAGAAAUUCAGGGUUAAAGUGCCUAUGACCAGAUUAAAAUCCUCAGUUGUUACAUAGUACUCUUUUAAGACCCAUGAAUUAAGUUAUAAUCAAUGAUUACAACACUGGUAUUAUUUACUAAUGUACCCUUCUCUUUUAGGGUAGCAGAGACCGGUUUGACACCUUAGAACUCUUCAUGUGCAAGAGAAAACUGAAAUAAUACCAACAUAUUUAGACACUAGGCAAAAUGAUUUGUUUUGGCUUUACCUACAGGGAAACCUGGGCAAUGCUCAUUAGACUUUUUUAAUGGAUAAGUCUGAUACCAUGUGACCAGGUGCUAACAUGGAAAAGAGUUUGCAUCACUGACAUUCUUUGAUUGGAGAGCACAUUAGGAAGUAGAUAAGGGGACAGCAUAGGCGACCCACCUCCGGGCCAGGAGAAGAGGACACUGCCUGGAAUGUCUGCAAUGUGUUACUAUUUUUGUCACACACACCUAUGUGUAGCCAUCCAUCUGGUCUGAAUCAAUCAGCCUCAUCCCAGGGCUCUGCUCCUCUCCCAGCUGAAAUAAUACCCUUCUUUCCUCAGUGCUGUCUCUUCAAGAGGGGUGCUGCUCAGGACUGCCCAGGCAAGGCCAAUUAAGGAGGCUGUGUGUUUGCAAACAUUAACCCAGGAUUAGGCAUUGGAGAAAAUUUUCUUUAAAUUUUCUAUAAACUCUGCUUUGCUAGAAGCAGUACUUGAGAAAACUGGAUGAAUCAUUAGAGAAAUAAUUGACCCCAGAAAGCGAAAGAAUGAUGCUACAUUAUUUUGUAUACAUACAUUUUAUUUUCUAAAGAAAAUGUCCUUGCCUUGAAUUUAAACCAUGAAUUGUUCUGCUGUUAUACCCAAAGUAGAUAAAGCCAGGGUGUGAGGCAUUGGCCAUGACUUAGCCUUAAGUAUUUUCUUCAGCCACUUCACUUUGUUCCAUGCUAAGUAUUCAAUUUCCCUGCACCUUGGUAACAACUCUACCCCUCUGCUUCUGGAUAAUCUUCCUGGCAUUCUUCAUGUGCACAUCCUGUUCUCUGGCAGUCCCUUAUCCAUGCUGCCCCAUCAGAUUUCUGCAUACCUGACAGCCUCUUGCUUGCAAUUUCAGCUACUAGAUUAUUGACCUCUAUUGCUCAAACCUGCAAUCCCAGCACUUUGGGAGGCCAAGAUGGUAGGAUGGCUGGAGCCCAGGAGUUUGAGACCAGCCUGGGCAACAUAGUGGGACCCUGUCUCUACCAAAAAGAGAAUCAAGGUAUUCAUCAGUUAAGCCAGCCACGUUUUAGGACUACAUAGCACUCUUCCCACAGACGACCUCAAAACUUAAUGACAUAGGCUUUGGCAAAUUCAAUAACAUGACAUAAAACUACUCAUUUUCCCUAUCUGCCUAGUUUUCCAUCGCAGUGGGAAAUACCACCCUAUCGUGGACCUCCCAACCAGGAACCCCAUGGUUAUUUUUGUCUCACUGCUGUCUUUCUCACUCCCCACAUCCAGUCUGUUACCAACCGUUGCUACUUUUUCUUUGCCAGUGUUUCCUGAAUCCACCCCUUUCCUUUCCAUUCUCAUAGUUGUGGUCUUAGUCUAGGCUUUGGCCAUGGCCCACGGAGGCUUUUCAGCCUUCUUCCCCCUCUCUCUCCACAUUCAUGUAUCAAAUUCCAGCUUACUUUAUUUAAUAACACUGACAAAAUUUUUUUUUCUCUUGUCUGUGUUUUUGGUCCAUUCAUUCUCUUUGAGCUCCAUUGAGACUGCCAGCUGUUCUCUGGACUGGCUUCUAAUGUUCACUUUAUACAUAUCACCUCUUCAUCCAGCUACCUCCAAUUGUUCCAAUCUUUUUUCUUUCUUUUUGGAGGUAAGCUCAUCUGGCACUUCUUUUUUCAUCAUUCGCACAUUGCUUCAGAAACCCUUCUCAUGUUAUAUAUGUUCCUGAUAUCCACCCCUCAAGGGCAGAUUCUGACACUUUCUUUCAGUAGUCCUUCCUUUCCUUCCUUCCUUUCUGAUGUAGCAAAGUGUCCUUUUGUGAGCGUGUCCAGAUUCAAAACUUCCAGUUCCAUCACUUGCUACUAUGACAUUGGGCAGUUACCCAAGAGCACUGCACCUUGGCUUCCUUGUCUGUAAAAUGGAUUGUUGUGAAGAUAAAUGAGAUCAUUUAUUUAGAACACUGCUGGCACACAGUAAGCACUGUUAACAUGUUUGCUAUUAGUAUUAUUACCAUAUCUCAAAGGACAACUCCCCAGUCACACCCCACUUCAGUCACCAUGAUGAUGCUGUGUGCCAAGGACAACAUAACUGGGUUUUAAAAAAUCUGGUUCUAACAGUAGUUUAUGUCUUAGAAAUCAGGGCAAAGUUAAUUGAAGACACCUGAUAUCAAAACAGGUAAUGAUGAAGACUUUAAAUGCUUUUUGAGGAUGAUUAUAAAGAAUAUUAUGAUAAGGAUGAUGAUGAUGAUGAAGAAAACAUGGCCAAAUGCUUCUUUGGGUUAAUACUCUGCUUAUAAAGCUAAGUCUCCAGGAAACAUACAGUAUUCCUCCUGAAAUUAGUUUUUUCCCAUUACAUAGAAACAUGUUAUGCAUAAGAAAAUAUAUUGUGCAGUAUGCAUGAGAUUUAUUUUUCAGAAAGCAGAGAAAUGGUAAGAAUUUUAAGUGUUCUACAUACUUAUUUAGAUCUCACAUCAGGAGAUAAAACAAAUGAAAACUCUGACUUGUUAAUAAUUUACAUUUUAGUGGAAAAUUCAUACAAGCUGUUAAGAUACCUCUAAGACACAACACAGAAAAUGCAAAUAACUUAUAUCCACUGUGCACUGAAAAUUUGUCUGAAAAGAAAACAACAUCAAUUAAAAAAAAAAUCCAAGUGAUUUCAAGGGAAUAUUGACCAUAUUUACAGGCCUGUAAUUGUUUUUAUUAAUUUCAGAUGUCUCUUUUGAAAUAUUCAUGUAAAUGAUCUCUCCACUUAUCAGGUGUUUCUUACAGAAAGUCCACUGAGCUACCUCACUACCUAGGAGGUGGCUUACAAAUAGGGGAUUUCUUUUCAGAAAGCCACACCAUUACUUUUCUCUAACAGCUUAUGCAAAAGUUUCGUGGGGGAGGGAAAAACCCAAGCCAAAAAAAAAAAAAAGAGAGAGAGAAAGAGAGAGAGAGAGAGAAAAGUGUGCAUGACAAUAACUACCUCUGUCCCUUAGGUUUUUGUUCUUUUCAUGUCAUGGAACUUUUUAGCUGUGCUGCCUGGGUAACUGCUCUGGAAGGUUGGAAUAUCUGUUGUUGAAGGAGGUUUGUGAUUGAGGGCCCUCUGACACAACCUUUUGUUGCAUUGAGGUGUUUGAUCCUCUUUCCCUUUCUUCUAAAACCAAUCCCAUCCCUUUAAAAAAUGGAUAACCAGCACUUCUUUUACUUAUUGUCAGCUUUUGGAAAGUUACUCUGGGGGUUUGUAGAAGUUUAACUAGUUAACUCUUUGCAUGCUGAUGUCCUGUCGCUGAAUAUUCUUCUUUCUAAGCAGGAAGGAUUUUAAUCGCUUAUAUCAGGUAACUACUGCUGUUAUGCAGGCAUAGCAAGUGAAACAUAUUAAGGUCCAGAAAUAAAGUGUUUGUGUUCAAGGUCUUGAAAUGUGAGAGUGAUUGAGGCUUUGCAAUGAGACACGUUCUUAUUUUCUUUUUGUCCUAGAACCGAAACGUGAGAGUUAUGACUCUGCCAUUUGAAAAAAUACGAUGAUAUACUAAUUUUUCGUUGAAGAACAACAGGCUUUGGUACUAAGUAAAUGCAAAGGGUUACUUCAGUUCUGGGGUAUAUAACUAAAUGGUGACAAAGAAAGAGAGCCUUACAAUGAAAAGUGUAGGGGUCUUGUUGCAGUCUGCUGACUAAAUGCUGGAAUAUUUUUUCCCCAAAGAAGGGACACAACCCAGGCUCUAGGAAAGAAAAGAAGCUUAAGUGGAUUAUUUAACAAAAAAGCAACUUAUGGCUUCUAGAUACUGACCUACAUUCUGCACACAAUAAUGAUGUUUUACGGUGGUGAUAGGGUUAAUAACCUAACAUCAUUCAUGUAGUGUUUUUUGAAAAUUGAAUUUUACUGCUACAAAGUAAAUGUAACAGCCCUCUGGAGACAAUAUUACAGGCACUUUAUUGUUUGCUAAGCUGAUGUCAUCUUUCUACAGACUGACUUUAAAACAAAGGCAGAACAUUUAUUACAAAUAUCACUGUGUGAAAGGAAAUCUACUGAAAUAUUGUUUAGAAGGUGAGCUGAUAAAAAAGUAUUAAUACUUGGCUUUGAUCAUCUUACACUGUAAAGUUAUGACUUCAAAAUGCUUCUCAUGUGAUCUCUAUUCAAGGCAAACUUCAUCCUGGCAAUUUCUACCCAUGUCUCCAACAUCAUUUGCCCUCAAGUUGAGAUAUUUGUUUAAGCUUCAUGCAUGUUUUAAAUACAUUUUUACUCUCUAAGGCAAUUUCUUAACAGAGUUGAUGAGUUUUUGAGAGAGAGAGAUUAAAUAGCAUCUUUCAGAGAUAAUAUAUGUAUGAUUUUAAAAACAAAGUAUGGAGAUUAAGCUGUUUAGUUUAUAUAAUGAACUUUCAAAAUCACCUGUAAGUGGUGACUGCAAAGUUUGCAAUUUAAAUAAGCUGUUUCAGGCACUGCCAAGCAAGCAUUCUGCAUCACAGGUUGCUUGCAACUCAGAGGGUUUGGUCUCUGUUAUCUGAUGCACGUGUAAUACAGCGUGAAGUUGUUUGUGGAUCACACAGGAGCUUCUUAGAGUUUCAUUUCCACACUGUAACCCUUGAAAAUGUAUCAAAUGAGCAGACGCGCUUGGCUCUUCCUUACAAGGCACAAGUAAUUUGUUUGUAAAUCAGUUACCUUUCAAGAAAAGUUAAAUUAGGGGCAACUCUUGUUUCUUUGAUGUUUUCCCUCUUAGAAAGCCAAAGAGCAAAUUAAUGAUCAUUUUGAAGUAAUAAUGAUAAUGAGGAAAAUAUAAUUUAGUGAGCUACACUAUCCCAAAAUAACUUUUUCAGGUACAGCAUAUAAAUAACAGCCCAAAGGACUGAAGUAGCCUGAUGGUGUUUUUCUAAGAAAAUGAUUUACGGCUCUGCCUUUGUCUCUGAAGUCUGGUUAGAAGGAAAACACAGGUCAAGGAAAUUGGGUUAGGGGGAAAAAGGCCUGUUAUGGGCUAGGUGUAGAAUUGUAUGAAUAGUGACUAAUUGGGAGUCUGUAGCACUCAGAUCAGUGUGUGCAAGGCUCAGUACUGGCUGAUGGUAUUUAUAUCAGUCAAAAAAAUGAAGGUGGAUACAUCUUCGUGUGCUCUGUGAAGGCAGUGUGUUAGUUGGUGAAUUGGCCAUGCCCAGCAGAAAGCUACCAGUAGUCCUAUGAUUGUGAUUAAACCAGGAGCUGAACUGCAAUGUUUUAAAAACUUAUGUUGCUAAUAAGCAUACUUCUGCAUAGAAAAAUCAUUUUAAAAAAAACAACUAUUUGAAACAUUUUACUGUAAGUCUGUCUUUGAUUUCUUUGGGAAGCUAUUUUAUAUUCACUCAAUUCAUUAUUGUAUUUGACAAAUAUUAGCUACUUACCAUGUGCCAGCACCAAAGGUUCAAAGGUGAGUUCUCACAGAGCCUUACAGAUACUUCAGAAAGAACUACUUUGCAAGGUUCAGAGUGUGACACAUUGUGAGUAUUCAAGAAACAUUUGUUGAGUGACUGAUAGAAUGAAUCAAGGGAUGAUCAAGGUAGGUCCUUGAUUUGUUAUGGACAAGGAGGAACUGAGAGUUUCUCUGCUUGAACAGGUCAGUAAAACUGUAAGAAAGGACAUGCUUAAGCUGGCCUUUAAAAAAACACCUGAGUGGCAUGUAGCAUGUGAAUAUGAACAGAAAUGGGCCACUGGUAGUAGAAACAGCAUCCCAGAAUAUGGUCUGAGUUUUAGCAGCACAGUCCAUUUCUGACUCCUGCACUCCUCAAAGCCACUUUAAGAAUUUGGUCUUUGCUCUUCUCUCCCCAGCCCAUUGUACUGUAAUACACACAUGCAUUCAUGUGCGUUUACACACACACACACACACACACACACACACACACGUGCUCACUCCGUCAUUGAAAUUCGAGUGUCCACCUCCUCAAGAAUCAAAGCAUCUCCUAAAAGAAAAGAAAUGGCAUGCCCAUUCCUCACUUUUGUCCAUAAAACUCACAUUUGAGAGGUCUACAAUGAGACCUCAUUUUUUGGACAAAACAUUGUUCUUAAGCAUCAGACACAAAAGAAAAAAAGGAAAGAGGAGCAGGUAAUAUUUAAACCACCACUAUUCUUAUAAUGAAAGGAUUUUUCAAAUAUCAAGAUGAACUUAUUUUAUCAAAUUAUUAAAGUUACUUUUGUCUCCAACUUAGCAACAAGUCAUAGAUGGGACACUCAAAACAGGCCAAUGUGGGACAGUUCCAACUGUAUGAGGCCUUGUGUCAUUACCUCCAUAAAUGGAAUCGAGCUUUCCUUCUUCUGCAGCUAUCCAUUUCCUUGCUUUUGAUUACCCACUCUGCGUUCUCUGUUCUCUCCCGGCAGGCCUUUCCUCUCUCCUCUAGCUAGCCACUCUAUAGGCAGAUGUGCCUCCUUUUCCAUUUGCCAGAUCCUCCUACCCAGAUCUUCCAAACUACUUCCCUUUGAAGUCUCUAUUACCAAUACAAUCACUUUUGUUUCCCUUCCAUCCCCUCUCUCACCGCUCCAGUUUCCUCUCUCCCUAACCCCAUUAGUUACAUCUGCUGCCCCUACCAUUCAGCCUGUGUUAAAUCGUAAUGCGCUUGACAUAACUUUAGUUUGUCUGCUAAGUACUCAAUCAGCACGCAGUGCUAUCUUCCGAUUUGUAGGAAAGGGGGCAAGACUGAGUAAGCUGACUCAAAAUUCUCUGAGUGAUUCAGCUCUGCCCAAUUAGCACAACCAAAGUGGGAAAUUGACAACUAAUAAUAAUGAAAGAAAUGGGUUUUAGUUGUGAAUAUAAAUCCCAAAGACUUGGUUUCUGCUGCCUGGGGUAGUUACUGUAUGCUUCAUAUGGUGGUCAGAUGGCUCAGAGAAUGCAGAGGUAGAUGAAUGAAGGGGAGUGUGUCAAUAACUGUAAUAUUUAUUAGUUGACUGGGAUUCUUUCCCUGGAAUUCAUUAAUGGAUUUUUUUUAAAGAAUCUGCAAACCACCAGAAAUUGCGUGUAACAUUUAAUACAUUGAUGCAUUUUUCCUGGGUUGUGGGUCCAUACGUUUAAGCAGAUUCUUAAAAGGCUCUAUGUCUCCCCAGUAUCCCACCUCACCAAAAAAAGGUUAAGAAUCAUUGCUCUAAGUGAAGACACCUAUUUGGUCUAUGUUUCCAUGUGGUUGGCGUUUUUUUUCCCCCGGCCCAUUUUAACAUUCCAGAGCAGUUCAGAGCAGUUCAGAGAGUAGAAGCAUAGGGUUUUAAAAGCAAAAUUUACCUUCUUUAAGAGGAAAAAUGUUUAAACCACCUACCAGGUUAUACAAUUCGCAUUUUAAAAAUUAUUUUAGUUUUACCACAAUUCAAAGACAGGUCUUUUUUUUUUUUUUUUUUUUUUAACAAUGGGUAUAAUCACACAUCUGAACAUAAGAAUUAGUUUUAUGCAGUUCCAUAGAAAACCAAAAUCUUGAGGAACACUUUCAAAACAACCAGAGAAAAAUAAACCAUUCCUUAUGUCAGUCUUGUUAGGGAGGGAUUAAGAAACUGGCAAUUAUUUUGGCGACCUUAAUUGUUGCGCGGCAGGAAAAUAUGUAAUUAGAGCACGUUCCCAGGCCUGCACACCUGCAGCACAUCCUACAGCAUAAUGUCAGCUUUCAGUGCCCGUCGGUGCCAGGUUCUAGCACAACCAGUCACAGUGACACUCUGAGAACAUUUCGGACUCAUGUAAUGUGGCUUCUGUGUAUGAAAGAAGCAGGCAUUUACACUACCACACAAUGGAGUGCAUUGCUGCAACACUGGUUUCAUUAUUUUCUGACGCCUACCUUCAGCACUGCCCUGGUUUACUCCGUUUGAGGUUUUAUUGUUACGGUAUAAUAGUCCUGUACAUUUUUGAAAUUCCCUUAUUAUUCAGCUUAUUAAUACAGUACUGACUUGAUUAUCAGGCUGCAGUUGCACAGCAGAGGAUUCAGUGCAUUAGCUAAGUCAGAAGCUGAGUAAAUUCUUGGUAUAAUGAGAACAAUUGUUUGACAUUUUUUUAUGUAGAAAGAUGGGCCAUGGUAGUUCUCUAUAUAGUUGCAUUUUGGAAUUCACUCUAUAUUCCCUAUAUGUUGUUGAGUAUUCGUUUUUCAUAUAAAGAAAGCUUAAAAUGUGUUCUCACUAAUUUGAAAGUGUUUCAGGGUAUGGGAGGACUCCAUCAUGAUUCUCAUUAGCUUUUUUCUUCUUUUUCUUUUAUUGGCUUUCUCAACAAAAAGAAACUCUGAUGUUAGAAAAAGUAGUGAAAAUGAAGAAACGGCAUGCACGAAGCCUGUUUUUCAGAUAAUUCCAUCAUCUGGCAUAGUGAUAGUUAACAGACUUUCCCCCCCUAAGGGAGAUACACUGUAUUUUGCUAUCUGACAUGUUGUCAUAUAUAAAGAAAUCAAUUGGUAAUUAAAUGAUGCACCUUGUGAAGAUGACAAAAGGCAUUUGGUUGCGAAAAGAGAACUGGGUUUUGAGGGGUUUGUAAUGAAGGCCUAAUGACUAUUCAUAAGAGAUUUUCAGUCCGUUGAUCCACUUGACUGGAAAGUUCUGCCCUGGAGAGUUAGUGCUGUCAGUUUCUCUCACCUCAGAAAGCCGCCGCAAUCGACGGUGUAGAGGAUGAGCGAGAAAUUAUCUAGUAGUUGCUCUAGGCCUGUCUUAGGUCACGUGCAGAAGGCACAUCUGGCUUCCUGUAGGUACAACCUCAGGACAUAAACUUCGACUAAUUUUUAAACUAUAAAUAUGUACGAGUGACACUGAAUAAGUUACCUUUUAUUCAUAUUUCCUUUAUUUUAGAACGCAUGCAAGUGGUGCGGUAAGCUGCCAUUUUGGCCUUAUUUUUCUUCCAAUUUUAACUGCUACACAUUUGCUUGUUAAGCUAAGAGUGACUGUUUAUGAAAGUUGUCAAGGACCAAAUGAUAACAGUCUCCUUCUGUGAAGUCCGACAACUGUACCUUUGCAGAGAAUAUGCCAAAGUUGUCCUGCAGGAAGGUCAGCUGAGACAAAUACAGAGUAUAUAUAUGAUUGUGUAGCACUCCUGGUGGGUGUUUAUUGCCCUAUUUGGCAAAAGGCAGUAAGAUAUCAAAAUGUGCAUACAUAGGACUGGAUGCAAGGCUGCUAUCACAUCAAGACGAUCUCUAGAACUGCAGGACAUUGUCCCUCUAGUGUCUCCAUCAACACAAUAACAAAAACUGCGAUGAAAAUUCAUGCAUUCAAAACAGAGCAGUUACUGUCCACCGUGGGCCAGACACUGUCCUAGCUUCGGAGGAGACAAAGAUGAGGGAAGCAAAACCUCAGUCCUUAUAAUUUACUGAGAAACAGACAAACAAGAAAACAGUUACACUACAACAUGGAAAGAGUUAUGGUUGAGUUGCGUAAUAGCCCAGAGUCUUAGAAUCCGGGAAAGGGUUUUCUGAGAACCAUUAGGGUGCCUAAGCUAGGUAAAGAUUUCUUACACGAGUUACUCUUUCCAUUGUCAGAGCCAAAUGAGCUGGCGAAAAGGUGAGUUGGACAAGUGAGUGUCUCUGUUGUAUGUGGAAUCUGUACAGAACAGUAGUGGCCAGCAGUUCCCGUACAUAUUUACUUUUGGAAAGUGCUUCUCCAUGUUAUCUUAUCAAGAAGCUCACCUAAUCAAAGGUAAACACAUUUCUCGCCUCAUUAAGGCUUGUUUUAUGGCCACUUCGAUGUUGUGUUUGAGGUGGAACUAUCUGUCACAGUCCUUGUCUAGAAUGUAUGUAAAAGAAAUUUCAUGGAAACUGAGGAGGUUUUAAUCUCUCAAUAUCAAAAUAAUUUAAUGCAUAACAUAUAUCUGAGAAGAUGUCACUGAUGAUUUCUACUUGUGUAUUGUGUUUACCGAGUUUUGCUGACACAUUUGCUAGGGCUGUCAAGGUGGACCAAAUGAAUGGACAGAUGCCAAAAAAACAAUUAUGCUUAUUAAUGUACAUUGAUUGCUUGUUUAGGUUAUAAAACAAAUUAAAAAAUACAUUAGUAUUUAAACCCUUUUAUAGCUGAGCUAAUGAUUGCUUGUAAUAUAGUGUCUACUAAAGAAUAUUCUAUAAUACCUGUAAAGCCCAGCUAUGUUAUCUAAUUAGUAGACUUUGAUUUAAGUGGCUAUAAUUAUGGAAUUGAAUAGUUGCCUUUCUAAAUAAUCAAAUGGUAGAUUUAAAUAUAUAAAGAUGUUGACUUGAUUAUUUAAUAUUUGUUGCAAAGACAAACCACCUAAAUAGAGAGAUUAAUUCCACAUCAGUGCAACAUUAAAAGGGAGAGAGGAUGCCAAGAAUCCCAUUAAUUUGGGAUAUAAGUGUCUGAAAUUUCCUCAAAACAUUUACACCAAGGAAUACCAACAAGACAAUAUCAAGCAGCUUUCCCUAAGGAUAGAGAGGUAAGGCAAACAUGAUUUUAAACUGCACAAUAUCACACAAUAAAAUUAAGGACAGUGUGUUCCACCAGAUCAGCAAUUUAUUGAGCUACAAGGUUCUAGACUAAAUAAGCGUUUUGUAUAUACAUGAGCUCCAUGACCUCUUUCCCCAUGAAGACUUCCCUGAGCCUCAGUAUCCACUCUUUCCUUUACCAUGAAUCCAUGUUUUCCCUCCCUCCCUCCCUCCCCCGCUUCCUUCCUUCCUUCCUUCUUUUGAGACAGGGUCUCACUCUGGCACCCAGGCUGCAGUGCGAUGGCAUGAUUAUGAUUCACUGAAACCUUGAUCUACCAGGCUCAAGCCAUCCUCCUGCAUUAGCGUCCCAAGCAGCUUGGACCGCAUGUGUGCACCACCAUGCCCAGCUAAUUAUUUUUAUUUUUUGUAGAGACAGGGUUUCACUAGGUCACCCAAACUGGUCUUAAAUUCCUGAGCUCAAGCGAUCCUCACACCUCAGCCUCCCAAAGUGCUGGGAUUACAGUGUGAGCCACUGCACCCAGCCCAUGUUUUCAAUAACGAUGGUGCUACUUGAAACCAUGGCAUGUCACAUGUAUAUUAUUUUAUUUCACCAGGUGUUUAAGUGAGAUAACCCUGGUGCCAAGAAAGCUUCAAUAUUUGCUUAAAUGGCCAAUGUGACAGAGAAGAGGUAACCUUUUUUUUUUCCUCUUAUGAUUUACUUUGGCUAUUACUUUUGAAACACACAUGUUAUAUUCCCCAAUUAUAUCUCAUUGCAUCCUUCACAGGCUGUCCAAGAAUUUCCAUACUUCUAACAAAAACCUCGGUUGACUGGGUUUAUAUAGUUUUUCCGUUCCUGGCCCUAUUUCUUUCAAGGCCUUUGAGUCAGAAGCAUUCAGGGCUGUGUAUGAUAGCCACCAUUCGCUUUGCCCUUUUAACUUUUGGGAGUUACUUCUGUCCAUAGUACAACUGCUCAGAAGGGUUUUUUCACAAAUUGUUUACCAUGGCAGUUGCUACCCUAUUGGGCUUUGCAUUCAGAACACAUAAGCAGAGAGCAAUGGUGUCAGUCUAACAAAUAAUGUGUACAAUUUUUUAAAAUGCUGAAUUUACCAAAUCCCCAUAUUAUGUUUUCACACUGCUCUUUCAGAAACUGUGCUAAUACAAUACUCCUGUAAACCGAUCUUAGUCCUGGCAGGCCCUGUUGGAACUAAUGGGGCCUGACAGUUCUUCAGUUAAAAAUUAUACAUGAGGGUCACUUUCCCUCAAAUUAUCUAUUGUAUGCCAGCUGUUCACAACUGCACUGCUUCACUUUCUUUGCAGUGCUAGAAAUGUCUAAUUUUCUCAUAAUAUCCAUAGCAACUAUUCUCAUGGAGGGCAUUGAAGUUAGUAAGACUUCAAACACACCUUCACAGAAAUCAUGCUAGAGUUGCAUUUUCCAUUUUCUUUAAUUUUAUUUUUUUGGUUGUGAAAAAUGUUUAGAUGGCUCAUUUUGCCGGUUUCAUGCCACAGCACUUGAGUUAUAUCAUAAUUUCUCAUUUGCUGCACAACUUUAUUCUAUUUUUAUGCUCCUAAAUGACGCAGCUCUAAGUACCAGUGAGUGGCACUUCCGUGCUGUGAGUGCUAUCAAAGGCAACCUCAGACAGAUAAAACUCCUGGGUUUUUUGUUUUCUUUUUUUUUUGUUUUUUUUUUUUGUUUGUUUUUUUUGGUGGGGAGGGGAGAAGCGGAGUCAUCACCAAGGGCCUUCUUUUGUUUUUCAGGCACAUUAAAACUAUAUAACCAACAGAACCAUUUAAAAGGAAGAAAAACAUCACUCAAAUUCCGUGUCUGAAUGAGGGCUCUCUUCUCAAAUGCUCCUCAUUACUCCAGAGCAGUUAUCUUUGGAUUAUAAUUAAAAUGAGGCGCUGUUUUUUUUCUUUUAUGCUUCUUUUUUCCCAGAAUGCCUCAAGUGAAGCAUGCCUCCCAAAGUUAUUACACCUCUUUACCAAUAAGUGCUGGGGUUUUAAUAAGCCUGUCCCCACUCCUUACCCUAUACAGAUGAACGGAUGGCAAAGAGUGGAUGUGGUACAAAGGUUACAGAUUCAGUGAUAUUUUCUGCUUUUAUUGGUAAAAGUUGGGAGGUGGGUGGAGGAUUUCCUUUAAUUAUGAAAUAAGUGUGAUGCUAGUAGUUAUUUCUGUAACCUGGUGAAAAUGCUGCAUAUUUCAGGCCUAAUUUUUAGCAUAUGUUACCAUGUGUAUAAUAAAACGGUGAUCUGUGCUCUCUGAAUCUUUUGGCUGUUAAGGAGCACUCUGAUUAUAACUAGUUGCUCUAGAAACCUGGUCAUCCAGAUGCUUAUCAAGAAUGCAUUAUUAUUUUUUAAACCUUGGUGGAGAAGCCACAGACUGCCGCACUUGGACAAGGUCACAUAUCAGUGGAAGCGACAAGUCUUUCCCCUUUCCAUUGUGUGAUCCUCCGGGGCUUGGGGGCAUUAAUAUGCAACGGUUCUGUUUUUCUUUCAGAAGGACUUGUAAACUCUUUAAACAGAGGCACACAGUUGCAAUUGUUGCGGUACUGAGUGGGUGUAUAGAAGCUAGGGCUGCAGCCUUGUCCAGUUGCAGAUAGAAUAAAACUGACAAUGAUGCAAUGGGCCUGGCAUGUAGACAACUCUGUGGGAUGGAUGAAUGGUGCGUCUCUCGCUGUCCCUCCGGUGGUGGUAGGCUCUGUAAUAGCUAGCGUAGGAAGGGUGGUGAAAAUUGAUAUGCACUAUUACUACAUGUAUAAAAUUUAACACUGGGGCCAUUGCACAGGUGGGGGGUUCCUGUUUAUUGAUUUUUAUGACUUUGUUAGAACAUGCACUUAAUGCUUUUAUACUCCAGGAGCUCUGGGAGGGCUCACCUUAGGUAAUAAACCUUUCCGUACUUUGCAAUCGCUCACAAUUUACAUGGGGACUCGCAUUAUCCAGUACAAAGCCCAGCAUCCCCCUUCUAUUUGGUUUUAGGAGUCUGAUACAAAAAAAAAAAAAAAAAGGCAAAGAAAAUAACUAUAGCACUUACUUUGAAUUUUUUAAAAACCUGUCCACUCCUGCUAGGAAAAUGGCCCCUAAUUCUAAUUACUCAUAUUUUCAAGAAAAAUUAGUCACACAAACUUAUGUUAUGUGUUGUCUCAGAGGUUGAAAGCAAAUCAGGUUUCCAAUAAGACAGUACAUCAAACAAAGUAGCAUGUUCUUGAUGCCGAUGACUUUUUUUUAGAAUUAUGGUUGGACAUUUUUGGCAGACAGAUUGUCUUUUGCUCUAUCAAAAUGACAGUUUCUUUUGUAACUGCAACAUUCAUAAUUAGAAGGAGAGAAGCAAUCUGCCCAAUUUAAUAUACUAAAAGAAGUUUAGAGUCUCUGCUAGUAAUUUCAUUAUUUUUAAAUUUGAAUUAAUUGACUUAAAAUAAUACAGUUAAGAAGUAUAACCAGCAGGAUUAUGGAGAGAGGUUUCUUUUUCUUUAAAAAACAGUGCUCUCAGUAUUAUACUUAAGAUGAGAUUGAAAUUUUCUUUUUGCGCCAGGUGCCCCAUUCUAAGAUUCAGAGCAGGAAUGUGAAUAUUCAUCCUUGCAAUGGAGCUGAGAGUAGUUGUAGGGCAAAUCCUGGGAACAAGGUCACUUUAAACAAAAAGUUCUCCAAGUUUCCCAUGCUUCUGAGGCUGGCUGGGCUUAAUUAAAGUCAAUGGAUGACCAAAAAUAAAUAAAUAAAUGGAAAAGAGAGAGAAAGAAAAGAAAAUGAAAGAACAACCACCCACCCCACAUCAGUCUCUUUCUAGGCUUAGUUGACAUUGCAUACCUUAGCUGUUGAUGUUCCAACUCUUUACAUAGAGCAAGAAUAAUAUUUCUUAAAUCCCUUAACAACACUGAUGUGUCCAUGCUUUAAUCAGUCUUCUCCAUUCCACAUCUCUAACCUUCGUCACUUAGGUGGCUCUCACCCACACCGCCACAACAAAAACAAAGCCAGAAUUGCAUUCAGAAUGAAAUCAUCAUAACAUAGCAACCUUGCUCAGGAUGUGACCUUCGGGUUUGAGCAACUCUGUUUUAUGCAGUCCUGGCCAACCUUAACCUUUCCUCUUGGCUCAGAGGGUACUCUUUCUUCAUGUUUUCUUCGGGAUCUCUCCUUACAGGACCCAGUAUGUUGCAUGCCUAUGAUACACAAGGCCAAAAGUUUCGGAGUGUUAAAAUCUACGAGCCUGUUUUCCUCUAUGAGAGAAUGAAGCCUGAACUCAUUUUAAAGAAUACAUACGUAGCAAGAUCUCUUUUUACCCUUCCUGUAUAAUUUUGGUCAUGCUCAACUGUAAAGGAAACCAGUUCUUUUUCACUGUUACCUUAUUUUGUACCUUAGCUGAUUGUCAUCUUUACAUGAGCGUCAGAUAUGAAUGUGACAAAGAUUUUUUAAAAAUAAUAACAACCAGUGCUUUACGAGUUGUUAAGUGUUUUUCUCUCCCACAAUAAAUUACAACACAAAGUGCCCUAUGUAUUUUUUUGGUAUGUUGAUAAGACAGCAGGAAAUUUUUUAACCCUCAAAACUUUCUGAUUAUACGCUGUGUUCUAAAUUUACACAGGCAAUGUUCCAAGUCCCACACUCCUUUACAAGUAUAUCAUUACAGACCAGCAAGUGAGAAGGUAAAUUUCCCCAUGGCAGUUCUGAAAUCUGACUUCAGGCUAAGAAGUCAUGGACUCAGAGGGCUGAUUGUACUGGACACCUACAUUUCAAAAUAUCUUCUAGUAUUUUAGUAGUUCCUUCUGUCCUUUUUGCAGUCCUGUGUCCUACAGAAGUGACACUGUGUUUCCUUUUUAUUUAUCUUACUCUACUUAGUUGUGUAUCAAAAGAUAUACACAUUUAUAUAACCCAAGGAGCCAGGGAUUAAAGCACAAUAUUUCUUAACACAAGCUUCCUCUAAGAUCUCCAAUAGCUACCUAAUGCUUAAAGCUUGGGCUGACAUGGGUUAUAAGGUUACAUUAGCUUUAUAGAUAUUUCUGUUUGUGUAUAUGCUAUGUUUAUAUAUGUAAUACAUAUAUGUGUGGCUUACGGCUAUGUUGACAUGCUAUUUUCUAUGUGUUCAUUUAUUAUAAACAGCAGGCAAGCGGACGUUUCACCUCACACCUCACUCUUGUCUCUCUCAUUCAAAAAAUAUUGCAAGAUUUCCAUUCUAAAUUAAAUACAUCCGAGGUUAUGUCUUUUAUCAAUUCUUGAUUCUUGGUAUCUCAAAAUUCUGGUCUUCUUCCUUUGUCUCAAAAAGGGAAACUGCUGAAAGCAUUUCCACCUGGAUGUUUAAAUUAUUUAAGUUGCAGGAACCAGACCUUUUCCCUCCUGAGUAGUUGUGGGUUUUAAAGGCUAAAAUUGCUUCAUCAUGCCAAAGUGAAAGUAUGCAUAAAUUAUUUAGUUAAACCUGAGAAAAUACAGACUUUUCCCAGUGAUCUUUCAAGGGCUGCCUACUUAAAUUUCAGAAGAAUGGGCAAGAUUUUUUUUUUCAUUCUCCUGGAAAAUUGAAGCAUCUGCUGUGUCUUCUAUCAGUUAGAAUGUGAACAAAAUUACAAAAUGAUAAUUUUUUUAAAGUCCAAGCUUCAUAAUAUCCAAUAUAUUUAUAUCAUUCCAAGGUGAAUACUGUGGUAAUCAAUCAAUACCAGGAAGACUCCUCCAGCUGGUGAGAAUUGCAAACCCUCUCUCAAUGUAUUCUUAUGAAAAUCAGGCAACUUGUUAUAGGUCUCUCCCUGAUGCCAAGCUAAAGACUGGGGAGCAUUUCCGAUUAAAUUUCUAGUCAUCCAGAGUUUGUACUUCAGUUAUAAAAGUAGAAAGUAAGGUAAUUUUUAGAUGUUAUGAAAACUUUAUUGACAUUUUUAAUUUGCUUUUUUUCUUUACCUUUACUCCAGUAAAUAACAUACCAGAAAAGUGUGAAUUUGUGUGGUGGUGGUGGUUGGGGUGUGUGUGUGUGUGUGUGUGUGUGUGUGUGUGUGUGUGUGUGUGUGUGUGUGUGUGUAACACAGAUAAUGUUAAAGUAGCAAUGAAAAGAGCCCAGAAGUAUAGGCAAUAGAGGGCCAAUUUCAAGUUUUUGUAGCGUAAGGCAUUCGGUUUCCCAUGUAUAUUACAGAAUCUACCACAUUAUAUAUCUGAUCUCUAAAUUGGCCUUAGUAUAAAUGUUCCAAGUACAUUCUCAUGACUAAGAAAAGAAUGAUAUUUUUAAUUGAAUACCUACCCUCAAAUCUUGAAAGAAGCAUGAAUUGGGACAGGACAAAAAUGUCAACACAAAAGUACUUAUAUGAGUUAUUUAGUAUACAGCUGUCUGUUCACUUGUAGAAUCCAUUUGAAAUUUAUGUUCAGAGAAAUUGGGAGAUGUGAGUAAAUAUGGGGGGAGAUUGGUGUGUAAAUUUGGUGAGUUUUUAUAAAAAAAUAAAAAUUUAGAAAACUUUCAAAGCAAAAUAAAACCUGUUCCACCCACAAAUGAUGGAUGUCACUGAUCCCCUAUUACACACCAGGCAUAAUACCCAUUACACACCUGGUCCUCUUCCUUAUAUCCAGCUUGCUUUCUCUCCAAAUUUCAGUGUAGUUACUCUUGACUUUGCCUUUGUUCUCCCCUCCUCCUUCUCACUUCUGCCGAGGCACAGUUAUGUCCACUAAACCAGAUGGGCAAAGAUUUCAUACUGACACCACCACACUCUGUUAAAUUGUUAAAAAUCCUAUUUUGGCUUUUGUUUGCUUACUUAGAUUUGUACCCCCGAGGUGAUGAAAAGAGCACAGAUAGAAUCUAGAGACAAAUAGGAUCUGGAGUCAGGAAUCAGAUCCAGAUUCUAACACAAGGUCAUAUGGGGAAAAGUCAGCUAAAAUUUCUGGGAUUCAAUUUACUCAUCUAUAAAACCAUCCUCAUAAUAAUUGCUCCCCCCUUCAAAGGACUGUUAUGAGGAGCAAGUGGAAAAAUAUCUAUUAACAGACUCUGAUGUCAGUAGAUUAAUGCAUAAAUCCAGGUAUUAUUAUAUAAUCAAAAUGUUCUUUUAAAUGUAGAAGAAAGGGUUUUUAAGGCACACAUGAGAUUCUGGAAACAGAGACAUUAUAGAAAGUCUAUAGGGACUAAAAAUGCAUUUUCUUCUACAUGCAUUUCUCUUGCCGGAGGUAAAUGCAGCCCUUUGGGGGAUGCUGCUCUGGCCAGGACCGUGGUGGAGAGCUCUGACUCUUGACUGUGAGAGUUCAAACGAUUCAGAAAAGACAGGAGGGAAACUUCAAGGUCAGGUGACUUCUUUCUAACUGCAGCAGGUUCUCAGAUCCUUGGGCUGGCCCAUGAUGAGAGAACAGUCAGCAAAGAGUCUGGCACAGUAAGCCUAAGUCUCAGUGUCAUCUGAUUGUGAAAUCUGCUUGUUUGCAUACUCAUACAGUACCAGAGCUUAAGCCCUGGCCACUAUACAGAUGAACGUGCAAGAGCAGGAUCUAAGACCAAGGGGUUGUUUGGCCUACAGAAGAAAAAUUCAUUAGAGUUACUUCAAGGAAAUCUAUUGAAUAAUCUCACCAAAUACAUUAAUGCCAUCAAUUAUUGUGUUUCACGUAUUUUUUUUUUUACACCAGAUACACAGUAUAUUGAAGAAUUUGUGAAAGUCCCCUAUGUGAGUCAGUAUUAACCAUGAUAGGAGUAAUCAGGACUGGCCCAAGAAAGAAAGCAAUGAGAAUUUAUAAAUUGGUCCAAUUCUCACCACAGUUGCUUGAAGAAAAUUGAAAUGAAAGAAGCCAAAAAGGGAUUUAUGAAUAUUUUUUAAAGCUUAAAAAGCCCACAUACUUAUCAUUGAAUUGUCUGCUUAUGAUAGGAGCUGGAAGAGUCCCUUAUAUCCACUCAACUGUACUUACAUUUUAAAUGGUUGUUUUCCUUUCUCUUACACUACUGCAAGAGAAAGGAAAUGCCUAGGCAAAUAAACUCUGUUAAAAUAACUUUACGGUUGUGACACAGUUUGACAAAAGCAAAGGAAAUUCAGAGUCACUGCUCACACUCUAUCCUCAGCUGAUUCCAACUGUGGAAAAUAAAGUGCUUAAAAAAAAAAAA